AGUGAACGUUGGCGGCGUGGAUUAGGCAUGCCAGUCGAGCGAGAACCGUACCAAUACGGGGACAGCGGCGAAAGGGGCAGUAAUGUGUAGGUACAUACCUCCGGGUUCGGGAUAGCUGUGGGAAACUGCAGGGAAUACCGAAUAACGUCUCCGGACAGAAGGAGUGAUUCCACCUGGAGAGGGGCCUGCAUCCUAUUAGCUUGUUGGCGGGGUAACGGCCCACCAAGGCGACGAUGGGUAGCGGGUGUGAGAGCACGACCCGCGUCAUUGGGACUGGGACACUGCCCAGACACCUGCGGGUGGCUGCAGUCGUGAAUCUUCGGCAAUGGGCGCAAGCCUGACCGAGCGACGCCGCGUGCGGGAUGAAGGCCUUCGGGUUGUAAACCGCUGUCGUAGAGGAGGAAAUGCAGGGGGGUUCUCCCCUCUGUUUGACCUAUUCUAGGAGGAAGUACGGGCUAAGUUCGUGCCAGCCGCCGCGGUAA
RNAcentral lists this ribosomal RNA (482 nucleotides) under uncultured bacterium. RNAcentral's name for it is "partial 16S ribosomal RNA". It matches the Rfam family "Bacterial small subunit ribosomal RNA", at positions 28 to 523 of the family's 1533-position model. The record is from RNAcentral.